AGAUUAAACUGAAGAGUUUGAUCCUGGCUCAGAUUGAACGCUGGCGGCAUGCCUUACACAUGCAAGUCGAACGGCAGCACGGAGCUUGCUCUGG
Molecule: ribosomal RNA, 94 nt
Filed under: Janthinobacterium violaceinigrum
Lineage: Bacteria; Pseudomonadati; Pseudomonadota; Betaproteobacteria; Burkholderiales; Oxalobacteraceae
Description: Janthinobacterium sp. FT13W partial 16S ribosomal RNA
Rfam family: Bacterial small subunit ribosomal RNA
Source: RNAcentral